CACGUAGGGCGCGAGCGUUGUCCGGAAUUAUUGGGCGUAAAGGGCUCGUAGGCGGUUUGUCGCGUCGGGAGUGAAAACCUUGGGCUUAACUCAGGGCUUGCUUUCGAUACGGGCAGACUAGAGGUAUGCAGGGGAGAACGGAAUUCCUGGUGUAGCGGUGAAAUGCGCAGAUAUCAGGAGGAACACCGGUGGCGAAGGCGGUUCUCUGGGCAUGAUCUGACGCUGAGGAGCGAAAGUGUGGGGAGCGAACAGG
Molecule: ribosomal RNA, 253 nt
Filed under: uncultured bacterium
Lineage: Bacteria
Description: partial 16S ribosomal RNA
Rfam family: Bacterial small subunit ribosomal RNA
Source: RNAcentral